CUUCACGAGACGCGACUGCCAAGCUCCGACUGGGUCGCGCACCAACCCCAUGCUCAUCGGGUGGUUCGGAUGAGGAAGCGGCCUGCAUCCCCGCUGCCCCGCAGCGGGUGACCGGUGCGGGUAAGAGCACGUG
This 133-nucleotide non-coding RNA is filed under the name Kocuria sp. RNAcentral describes it as "SAM-IV sequence". It matches the Rfam family "SAM (S-adenosyl methionine) riboswitch aptamer". From Rfam's summary of the family: SAM-IV is a mRNA element that regulates gene expression via direct sensing of S-adenosylmethionine (SAM or AdoMet). Lineage: Bacteria; Bacillati; Actinomycetota; Actinomycetes; Micrococcales; Micrococcaceae. The record is from RNAcentral.